RNAcentral lists this ribosomal RNA (494 nucleotides) under uncultured bacterium. Its description in RNAcentral is "bacterial SSU rRNA". It matches the Rfam family "Bacterial small subunit ribosomal RNA", at positions 28 to 507 of the family's 1533-position model. The record is from RNAcentral.
GACGAACGCUGGCGGCGUGCUUAACACAUGCAAGUCGAACGAGAAAGCACCUUCGGGUGCGAGUAAAGUGGCGAACGGGUGAGUAACACGUGGGCAACCUGCCCCGGAGAGCGGGACAACUCGGGGAAACUCGAGCUAAUACCGCAUGAUCCGCCCCGACUCAGGUCGGGUCGGCAAAUGGUAGCUUCGGCCUCCGCUCUGGGAUGGGCCCGCGCCGCAUUAGCUAGUUGGUGAGGUAACGGCUUACCAAGGCGACGAUGCGUAGCUGGUCUGAGAGGACGAUCAGCCACACUGGAACUGAGACACGGUCCAGACUCCUACGGGAGGCAGCAGUAGGGAAUCUUGGGCAAUGGGCGAAAGCCUGACCCAGCGAUGCCGCGUGUGUGAAGAAGGCCUUCGGGUUGUAAAGCACUUUCAGCAGCGAAGAAAUGUCGGGGGCUAAUAUCCCUCUGGCUUUGACGUUAACUGCAGAAGAAGUACCGGCUAACUCCGUG